RNAcentral lists this ribosomal RNA (562 nucleotides) under uncultured eukaryote. Its description in RNAcentral is "partial 18S ribosomal RNA". The record is from RNAcentral.
ACCAGACUUGCCCUCUCAUAGAUACUCGUUAAAGGGUUUAGAUUGUACCCAUUCCGAUGACCGGCCUCUUAAGAGAACGGUCUCGUUAUUUCUCGUCACUACCUCCUCGUUCUGAGAGUGGGUAAUUUGCGCGCCUGCUGCCAUCCUUAGACGUAGUGGCCAUUUCUCAGGCCCCUUCUCCGGAGUCGAACCCUUAUCCUCCGUUACCCGUCAUCACCAUGGUAGUCAGAUACACUACCAUCGAAAGUUGAUAAGGCAGAUACUUGAAAGACACGUCGCCGGUACAAGACCAUGCGAUCAGCUUAGUUAUUCUGAGUCAACAUCGGACGGCCGAAGCCGCUUGGUUUUGUUCUAAUAAAUGCGCUCUUCCCUUACGGUCGGAGCUUUGGUGCAUGUAUUAGCUCUAGAAUUACCACAGUUAUCCAAGUAGGUUGUCAAGAUCAAGUAAAUUAUAGCUGUUAUAAUGAGCCGUUCGCGGUUUCACGAUCAAGUCGUUUAUACUUAUACAUGCAUGGCUUAAUCUUUGAAAUGAACACAUCAGUUCAGGGCAGGAUCAACCAGA